CAGUGGUACAGCUCUUCUAGAAUUUGUCUAGAGGGUUUUCCGGUUUCUACCAGAAAAAUACCUUC
Molecule: small nuclear RNA, 65 nt
Organism: Suncus etruscus (white-toothed pygmy shrew)
Lineage: Eukaryota; Metazoa; Chordata; Mammalia; Eulipotyphla; Soricidae
Product: U7 small nuclear RNA
Exons: 1
Source: RefSeq, a predicted model, not a curated record